Molecule: non-coding RNA, 100 nt
Filed under: Paenibacillus rhizosphaerae
Lineage: Bacteria; Bacillati; Bacillota; Bacilli; Caryophanales; Paenibacillaceae
Description: Guanine sequence
Rfam family: Purine riboswitch aptamer
About the family: Riboswitches are metabolite binding domains within certain messenger RNAs that serve as precision sensors for their corresponding targets. Allosteric rearrangement of mRNA structure is mediated by ligand binding, and this results in modulation of gene expression.
Source: Rfam by way of RNAcentral
AUAAAUAACAGAUACAUUGUUCGUAUAACCUCAAUGAUAUGGUUUGAGGGUUUCUACUAGGGGCCGUAAAUCCCUGGCUACGAAUAGGCUGCUUUGCAUA